This 532-nucleotide long non-coding RNA is filed under the name Numida meleagris (helmeted guineafowl). Its description in RNAcentral is "lncRNA (ENSNMEG00000022216.1)". Lineage: Eukaryota; Metazoa; Chordata; Aves; Galliformes; Numididae. The record is from RNAcentral.
AUGUUUCCAGCCGAGCUGUGUGUGGUGGAAAGGAAUCUCUACAGAGCUCAAAGCAUUCCUGGUUUUAUGAAUUUCAACAAUGUUAAACUGGGACAUAUACAUAAGGCCCAAGAGUUGACAUGCAAAACUACUUCUCCUUUUUCCAAAAAUUAUUGUCCUCUGAAGUGCCUGGAAUUCUGGAACCAAAGAAAAUUCUUUCUUGCCUGGUUUCAACCUACUGGCAUUUUUGGUUAUUUGUUUUUACAUACAUUGGUAAGAAUCUGUAGUGGAAAUCCUAAGUCACAGCUUGACACAGUGAUGGAGCACCUGGUAGGAAGUCAGGACCAACCCAGGGAAGGCCAUGUGCAUGCAGUGCCCCUGAGUGACCAGAAGAAGUGGAGCCAGGAUCUACCCCCUUCUCAGACCUCAUUUAAGGAUUGGCAGUGGAGAUGAGGGCAUCUUGCUGGAGCUCCCUGCAUACCAGAGGCCUUCUGAAGGUAAGCAAAUUUUCUUCUUUUGUUUCUGUGUCUGUGGUUGCUGCAUGUGGGCUUGU